AAAACCCCCUCACAGAUAAUGUGGUAUUGGUAGAAGUGGGUAGUACUAACAGUGCUUUGUCCCCACUCUACCAAAAUGAAUAGGCCAGAGAAGUGAACUUGGGUAACAGACUCUCAGAGUGUUUUAAAAUGCUAAACUAGUCUUACCCAGGUUGGAAUCUGAGCCACUGGACCCCCAUUUAGUCCAAAACAAAGA
RNAcentral lists this unclassified non-coding RNA (195 nucleotides) under uncultured Tuber. Its description in RNAcentral is "sequence contains ITS2". The record is from RNAcentral. Lineage: Eukaryota; Fungi; Ascomycota; Pezizomycetes; Pezizales; Tuberaceae.